This 253-nucleotide ribosomal RNA is filed under the name uncultured bacterium. Its description in RNAcentral is "partial 16S ribosomal RNA". It matches the Rfam family "Bacterial small subunit ribosomal RNA", at positions 524 to 776 of the family's 1533-position model. The record is from RNAcentral.
UACGGGGGGGGCAAGCGUUGUUCGGAAUUACUGGGCGUAAAGGGCGCGUAGGCGGUUCGCUAAGUUGAAUGUGAAAACUCUGGGCUUAACCCAGAGCCUGCAUUCAAUACUGGCGGGCUAGAGUUCUGGAGGGGAUAGCGGAAUUCCUGGUGUAGCGGUGAAAUGCGUAGAUAUCAGGAGGAACACCGGUGGCGAAGGCGGUUCUCUGGGCCUGUACUGACGCUGAGGAGCGAAAGCGUGGGGAGCAAACAGG